UGGGGAAUAUUGGACAAUGGGCGAAAGCCUGAUCCAGCAAUGCCGCGUGAGUGAUGAAGGCCCUAGGGUUGUAAAGCUCUUUCGGCGGGGACGAUAAUGACGGUACCCGCAGAAGAAGCCCCGGCUAACUUCGUGCCAGCAGCCGCGGUAAU
Molecule: ribosomal RNA, 152 nt
Filed under: uncultured bacterium
Lineage: Bacteria
Description: partial 16S ribosomal RNA
Rfam family: Bacterial small subunit ribosomal RNA
Source: RNAcentral